GUCGAGGGGUAUUGGUUUUCGGACCAGAGACCGGCGCACGGGUGCGUAACGCGUAUGCAAUCUACCUUUUACAGAGGGAUAGCCCAGAGAAAUUUGGAUUAAUACCUCAUAGUAUUAUUUACUGGCAUCAUUAAAUAAUUAAAGUUCCAACGGUAAAGGAUGAGCAUGCGUCCCAUUAGCUAGAUGGUAAGGUAACGGCUUACCAUGGCGACGAUGGGUAGGGGUCCUGAGAGGGAGAUCCCCCACACUGGUACUGAGACACGGACCAGACUCCUACGGGAGGCAGCAGUGAGGAAUAUUGGUCAAUGGGCGCAAGCCUGAACCAGCCAUGCCGCGUGCAGGAUGAAGCAUCUAUGGUGUGUAAACUGCUUUUGUACGAGAAGAAACACUCCUACGUGUAGGAGCUUGACGGUAUCGUAAGAAUAAGGACCGGCUAACUCCGUGCCAGCAGCCGCGGUAAUACGGAGGGUCCAAGCGUUAUCCGGAAUCAUUGGGUUUAAAGGGUCCGUAGGCGGUUUUGUAAGUCAGUGGUGAAAGCCCAUCGCUCAACGGUGGAACGGCCAUUGAUACUGCAAAACUUGAAUUAUUGGGAAGUAACUAGAAUAUGUAGUGUAGCGGUGAAAUGCUUAGAUAUUACAUGGAAUACCAAUUGCGAAGGCAGGUUACUAUCAAUAUAUUGACGCUGAUGGACGAAAGCGUGGGGAGCGAACAGGAUUAGAUACCCUGGUAGUCCACGCCGUANACGAUGGAUACUAGCUGUUCG
This 763-nucleotide ribosomal RNA is filed under the name uncultured Bacteroidota bacterium. Its description in RNAcentral is "bacterial SSU rRNA". It matches the Rfam family "Bacterial small subunit ribosomal RNA", at positions 61 to 826 of the family's 1533-position model. Lineage: Bacteria; Pseudomonadati; Bacteroidota. The record is from RNAcentral.